ACACUAAGGCCCACUGUACCUCCAACUUCAAUUUCUACUCAAGAAUCUAAAAAGGAACACAUAUCUACAUUGACACACUAAAGAUAUCAUGGAGAGUUGGCAGUAAGAGAGCAUAAAAUUUGUUAAGGUUCAUGUAAGCAAUAUACAUAUACACAUUUUUUCACAAACAGAAAUCACCAAAAGCACUUGGCAUUCUUCCAACUAAAUAUGAUGGGACUUGCAUUAACAAGAUGACUUACAUCACUUGGAACUACAACAUUUAACAUCCAACAGAGUGAAAGGGAACUCACUAAUACAAACCAAGAAAGUAGAUGGCAUGUGCAGGGAGUAGUUCAAUUACAAGGGCAUCAAGACCAGAUUUCUUAAUGCCUAAUACUCUGACUCAAUUCUAGGAAGGCAUUUUAAUUUCUAGUUCUCACAAUAUACAGUUCUCUCAUGAGCAAGUCAGUUGACUUUAAAAAUCUAACGAAAAAAAGUCCUCUCAAUGAGAUAAGCAAGUUCUGCUCAGCCAUAAGCAGACAUGAAACGGGCAUAGACCAGAAAACAGAAUUUUUUGAGACACUACUUCUACAUCAGCAGAUACAAAAUGAAAAAAGUACACAUUCAGAUUUCUUAAAUUACAGAAAGAAAAAAGUUCACAUUCAUUUUUUGAGAGAUGGAAUGGGCAUCAAGACCAGAUUUCUUAAUGCCUAAUGCCUAAUCUAAGAGGAUGAAAAAAGUACACAGAUACAUAUUACAUAUAUGCAGAUAUAGAAUGGUAUAUAGGACAUAGAAAUCUCUUUAAAUUUCAAAAUAUAAGUAGAAGAUCUGCACUCCAAUAUGUUUAACUUGAAAUUUGGUGCUUUUCCAGAAGAGCUUUCAUGUCCAUUUUACACUAAGAAGACCCUGCUAGAGGCACUCAAUUACAACACUAAAUUUCAUGGAUAAAGGGUAACCGCAAUGAGCUAUCUAGCAACAGUAAAAUCCACCAGUUCUACGAUAAGAUUGAUAGUACAUAAAGAGAGAAAUAUAGAUAUCAAACAACAAAUACCCACUGAUUGCAGUAGGUAAGUGACCACUGUAACUGAGACAAAGAGAUAAAAGUUCAAAGGCCAGAACUUGAAAUCUUGCUUUGGCCUUUUCGAUUCUUUCACGAUCCAAAGAGUCCACAACGUAAAU
Molecule: long non-coding RNA, 1158 nt
Filed under: Capsicum annuum
Lineage: Eukaryota; Viridiplantae; Streptophyta; Magnoliopsida; Solanales; Solanaceae
Description: long non-coding RNA (CANN_LNC022368)
Source: RNAcentral